This 496-nucleotide ribosomal RNA is filed under the name uncultured bacterium. RNAcentral's name for it is "partial 16S ribosomal RNA". It matches the Rfam family "Bacterial small subunit ribosomal RNA", at positions 29 to 507 of the family's 1533-position model. The record is from RNAcentral.
AUGAACGCUGGCGGCGUGCCUAAUACAUGCAAGUCGAGCGAACAGACGAGGAGCUUGCUCCUCUGACGUUAGCGGCGGACGGGUGAGUAACACGUGGAUAACCUACCUAUAAGACUGGGAUAACUUCGGGAAACCGGAGCUAAUACCGGAUAAUAUAUUGAACCGCAUGGUUCAAUAGUGAAAGACGGUUUUGCUGUCACUUAUAGAUGGAUCCGCGCCGCAUUAGCUAGUUGGUAAGGUAACGGCUUACCAAGGCGACGAUGCGUAGCCGACCUGAGAGGGUGAUCGGCCACACUGGAACUGAGACACGGUCCAGACUCCUACGGGAGGCAGCAGUAGGGAAUCUUCCGCAAUGGGCGAAAGCCUGACGGAGCAACGCCGCGUGAGUGAUGAAGGUCUUCGGAUCGUAAAACUGUGUUAUUAGGGAAGAGCAAAUGUGUAAGUAACUAUGCACGUCUUGACGGUACCUAAUCAGAAAGCCACGGCUAACUACGUG